RNAcentral lists this long non-coding RNA (15438 nucleotides) under Phoenix dactylifera (date palm). RNAcentral's name for it is "long non-coding RNA (PDAC_LNC004723)". The record is from RNAcentral. Lineage: Eukaryota; Viridiplantae; Streptophyta; Magnoliopsida; Arecales; Arecaceae.
CCAUCCGUGGGUCCUUGGAGCAGAGAAAUUUUCAGUUGGAACAGGGAGGGGCUCACGAUGCUCGGGAGGAUUUUUGCCUUGAUCCCCCUUUGCUUUUAUGUCGACCGCAUCAAACGUUGGGGCCAACGCGCCCAUAAGAUCCCAUCUCCGAUGAGUUGUACUUAGGUCGAUCGACACCCCCACUCCCACCGCAACAUAGGAUAUUUAUUCCAUCGAACUGUGCAAGCCGCGUGAUAGCUGGAUCCGAGCACCCGACCCUUCAUUCAUCCAACGAGGGCAGCUCAAAUGGCGUGUCCGUGUCCGGAACAAACCGGGCAUUGGGUUUAUUAGACCCACCAACAAAUCAAUCCGGAUAGGGCCCUUGACAGUGCAUCAUCUAGCUAACAUUCAACUAGCAUUUCUUUUUUUUAAUAAUCUUUAAGGCGGCCUGAACAGCUUUCCAGCUACGGCGAUUUCAAUCUUAUUUUUUUUUUAUUUAUCCUCACAAGCUCUCUAGAGAAAGAAAGAAAGAAAAAAAAAAAUCUUUAGGGGCCCCAUUAGAUUAAUCUUUGCGUGCUCGUAGAGAUCUAUAAGAUGGCAAGAACAUGAUGCUUCCGAGCAUGCACGGUCAAUUUGGAAAGUCAGACCAUGCACGCAGAGACAAUAAUAUAUGCAGAAGGUAUUAAAAAGUGACCCACACGUGUAUUACCAAUGUUUUGUCCCCCUUUUGAUUUGGUUUUGCCGCUGCAAUGUUCAGCUUAAUGUGCUAAACGUGUGGGCCUCGAGCGUGGCAUGCUAACCAGCUGGAUCGGGUUCGCGUUGGCUUUGGCUUGUUGUCCACCGAUCAAGAGCUUAUUUGUCAUUAAAUUUUCAUUCAAGAAAGGGAUAGGACAUCAGCUAUUGCAGUCCUGGCGACCGAUUAGUUUUUUAAUACUCUUAAAUGCUAAGAUCCAUCGUACGGUAAAAAUGGUUCGCCGGUGAUCGCUUGAUUUUGAAAAGCCAUCGCAAAGAAAGCAAAUCUGGAUGUGCGAUUUACGCAAGCAUAUUAACUAAAAUUCUAAUUAAUAGAAAUACCAAGCUGCAUUCUAUAUAAACUUCAAUAGAAAAAAAUAGUAUAGUGAGUAUAGAUAAGUACUCAAGGCUACAAUAAGAAAGAUAUAUCAAAAAGUGCAUUUAGAAAAGGAAAUUAAAAUAAAGCACGGUAAGUAUUACAUAUCGCUUGGUCAAUAUCACCCUCCUCCAUUUUUUGAUUAUCACCCUAACUUAGGCAUCGGAGGGUUCCCCACACGACACACUCCGUCAAGAGGAGUUCUGCAUCUUUACUGUUUCAGAUCAAAGCUUGGUUGCAGACUAGGACCCUGAACAUAACUUUCCACUUUAAAUCAUGGCCUCUCACGACCUGAGCAGCUCUCUGCCUAGCUCUCUAGCAUCUCUCUUCCUCGACACCUAGGUUAGGCCGAUCCUUAGAGGCAAUAGAUUGACACUAGAAGGAGGGUCGAGGUCUCAUCUUCGGAAAGCGAAUAGCCUGUCGCUGGGCACAAUCUACCUUCUAAUGCUCAGCCAAAUACUCCAGAGGAGUUCGACGGCUCUUUGUAGAGCCCAUGGAAAGCUCCAUUCCCACUGAAAUUGUAGGCGAACAUAGCAGUAACCCCUGAGCAAUUCAAACUGCUCAUGUAAUGGGUCAAGCACUGACUGCCGCUGCCCAAAAUCUGCAGCAGUCAGCCGCCGAUCAGUAGUAGAAGCGCAGGCUCGCGAGCCGAGUUGACGCAAAAUCCCGAUGCACUGGGUCAUCACACCCCUCCCCAGAGUUGACACAAAGUCAGCAUGCCCAUCCUCAAGGUCCCAACAAGGCCCUGCGUAGCCACCAUUUCUGAUCGUGGAGCCUUGCAUAAAAUACUCAGCACCGAUCUUCUAAUUCUCCCUUAUGAGAGGAGUUAGCAUCUAAUGUCUCCUCCCCUCAUCAAUUCGAGAAAGCCUCCAGGAGAGAGGCUGACCUCGAUCGCAAGUUCAAAGAGAUGGGCUGACUUCUUUAGGCCCUAAGGUAGCACCAGGAUGAGCAAGGGAGGGACGUGGAGUUCACCACUAGCUGGAAACUUAUGAUGGUACCAUGGACCCAUUGAAUCACCAGGAGAGUUUUAAAGCUCUCACGAUGCUUCGCGGGGCCGUCGUAGUUUCGUGUACAACCUUCUUGGCUAUGCUGUAGAAGACGACCCUAUUAUGGUACACCUUUCUAAGUUGGGAUAACCCAAGCGGAGGUUUCGGCUCUUGCGCCGAAGGCUUAGCGAGCUAACUGAUCUCCACAGAUCGAGACAACCCAAGCAACUGACUUUCGUGCUAAAGCUUGGCGAGCUAAUUGACCUCUUGCAGUAGGAAGCCCUCUCCGGAGAAGGACGAGUGAGCCUUCAACUUCCUCGAACCAUUCGUAGUCUCCCGAAGGUUUCAUCAGAGAAGGUCGAAAUGGAUCCAAUGGUUGAACGACCCCUCGGGCACACUCGAAGAAGAGUGGAAGUAAUGAAGGGUCACAGGGAUCGACCCAUUGUCUUGGAAGGCGAAUCCUAGCACUAUAUAUAGAAAGUGCGCAUGGUUGAGAUUUGGGCACCCAAGCUCGAUGGCUGACCACGUGGCCGAUUUCUAUGUCUUAGGAGACCCACAUUUAAUCCAAAAAAUAUUCCCUAAGAACUGAUUGCUGAGGUGGCAUCAUCUUAGGAUCUCGUUCAAAUACAGUUCAAUAAAUUCACACUACAAAAGUAUGUUUUGGGCUAUGAGUAUUAGUCAGUAUGAUGAUGCUUGUGCUUCUCGAGGAAAUGGAUAGAACCCAGCCGCAAAAUGACUGGGGGGUAGGCAUUAGUAUGCCUAUCGCAAUACCCUCAUCGGCCAACCUCGAGCAACCUCACCUCGAGUUAGAAAUGGACGUCUUGAUGGUCAAAGUGCCAAUAAGCCUUGCCCCAAACUGGGUAAGCCUUCGAACAGAAGUUUAUCAAUCAAACUAGACAAUCAGGCAAGUAGAUGCAAAAUGAAAAGAGAGCUUCAUUCAUUUAGAGGAGGAUUACAGGAAUAAUAGAGAUGAAAGAAAAGAUACAAAAUUAUAGCUUGUAAACACCUGAGCUAGAAAAUAAUACUAUUCCUCUCCCCUCUCUUCUUCUUCUUCUUCCUCCUCCUUGUUCUCUUUGGCUUCAUUCUCUGUCAUCUAGAAGGAGCCUCCUUCGUCAAAACUCUUCUCUGAGAAAGUGAUUGAACUGAGAUCAACCUUGAGGAGUAGUUUGCCAAUCCUCCCUCGGCAAAUGGUGAUGACAUUUAUGAAGGAGUCUUUGGUCCUCAGAAGUUUUGCCAUCCGCAACAGCAUGCUGGGCCUUUUUCUUUGCAUGGGAGGCUUCCUCCUUAGCCUAUGCCGCCUCUCUCUCGGUGAGGUCAGGACUUUCCUCAAAUUGGGCAGCUUUGCCAUCCACUCAAGUGAACUGCUCCUCAACCUAAGAGGUUCCAAACUUGGCCGUGGCGACCGCGUCUUUUAGAGGAGCAAUCUCCUCCCUGGCCUCCCUCUUGAUGGAGGCUCCUUCCUCACCAAUGGACUACUGCAUCCCCUGGAGCCAUGCUGCCAUCUGACCCAGCUUGGCCUUGGCAGCAUUGGCCCUAGCACCUAGGAGGUAGGCUCGUGCCUCCGCCUCCUCUCUCCUCUUCUCUGUCACUACCCGCUCCUCCUCAUUAUGGGCCCGGUUGCACUCUGUCUCUUGAAGGAAAUGGUCGGCGACCUCCAAUCUCUGCUAGUAAGAGCGAAUGACCUUGAUAAGCAUUUGAGCAGCAUACAUUCUCUACAAAUAUGAAGAGGGAAACAAUCACUCUAUUUAAAAAAAAAAAUAGAGAAGGAGGAGGCGGAUGCUCAGAAAGGAUAGGGUCAACCCAUUACCUCAAUGGUAGUGCAGUACAUUGAGGUGAGCACGCCUUCCAAUGGCCUUUUUCAUAGUUAUUCUUCAUCCUUAGGGAGCAUGAACUCUUGGACCAUGUCCCACAUGACUCAGGGGUCGCCCCGACGAAGUGCUGAAUCAGAGAUCCUCAUGGACCAAUUCAGGCAGAAGGCCCCUAGCUUUGCACUUCAUGGGGCAGGUUGGAAUGGAGAUGUUGACGUAUGAACGCCCCCGACGGUCCAGGCAAAAACUGGUUCAGAUGUCAUUGCCUAACGCAUAGUAGCAUUUGGGCCUAGUGUAGAAGGAUGAGACCCUCCAGGAUGGGCCAUCGAAGAUGGGGUUGCAUUUGGCACAACCGACAAAAUGGGGAUGGUUUCUAGAGCUAUUGUAAAAGAUGGAGUGACGACAAGGGCAACCACCAAAAUAGACUUAGAGGUAUCAGUGGGGAGAGCUCUCGGGUGGCCCCCAUGAUAGGAGAACAUAUAGAGAUGAGAGGGACAACAAUCACCUCUACCGCUAGCGAUUCUCCCCUAGUGGGCCUCUCCUCGACUCUAGUAGUGGAGCCCGAUGCAACAGAGGGCCCAGACUCAGCGGCAGAUGUGCUUAUCAUCACCCUCCUCCUCCCUCCUACUUGAGGAGGGACUAGCCUCUCCAGACCUCCUCUUCCUAAAAGAGUUGAAAAGCUCAUUCAUCUUGAACUUCAUUGCUAGAAGCGUGAAGACAAAUUAAAUCAAUCAACAGAGCAAUAUCAAUAAAAAAACAAAGCAAAGAAAGUAUACCAACAAUAGAAGUAGGGCUCAGGUCGGUGUUUACCAAAGCUGACUCCCAAAGUAGCUCGGUCAAAGUUGGUCCCCUAAUCUGGUGAAGGGCAUCAAUCGAUUCUUGUUCUUCAUUCGACAAAAGAGGGAAAAGGCUCAAUACCCACUUUUCGAGUGUCAUCCACCAUGUUGGAAAGCCCCAAGAAGCCGCAAAAAUUAGAAAAAAAAGGCCUUUCCAGCUGUGAAUGGACGAAGGACCCGAAGGAAGGACAUUUUAACUCUUUCUAUAGAAAAGGUACUACCACUCUUUAUUUCAGGGGUGAGCCAUCACUUAGAGAAAGGCUUGGAACACCCCACAGUAGGGACGUUCCUUUGGAGUUGAACGAAGCAAAAGAAUCCAACUAUCAUCCUCCAAGUAUUAGGGAUGAGCUGAGUCAGGAUGAGUUGAUAUUGAGCUAACAACUCGACAACAACAAGGAGAUCGGGAGCCUCAAACUUGCCUUUAGAGAUUCGUCAAACAAGGUGACCUCAGGGUGGGUUCCUUUUGAGGCCGCAGAGGCUUGAUGGGGGGAACCCUGACCUACAUGUUUAGCAUUGGUAGACCAGCCUUCGACGGAUGAAUCCAUGAGCAACAUGGCAAAGAAGGAUAAAAGAAGGCGAAAGAAAUGGAGAGGACCCAAAAUUAGCCAAAAGUGCAGAACUAUCUAUCGAGAACUAGAGAAAAGCCUUAGUAAAAAGCAAAGAAGAUGGAUCUUGGUACGAAGGUUCAAAAGGAGUAGCCGCGCAACCUUGUGCUUAUCAUCUUUCUUUCUAAGUUUCAGAGCAAAAGGGACGAAGUAGAAAGGUUUAUCACCCAUCUAUUCUAUUUAUAAGGGACUUAGGUGACCUAUGCCAAUACGAUGCCUCACCAACUUUGACCGUAUGUCCCCUAAACGUUCGCCCUUGAGCGACCUCUCAGAUCAUUGUUGGACUCCAAGAGUCCAUUUAGCAUGCAUACAUCUCCUUCAUAAUUGCAAUGCUUCGGAAACGGCAAGGACGACCAUGCCUUUCAUAAAUGUAGAAUCUGAAAAAUCUCCACACUGGUACCGAAAGGACAGCUACAAAAAAGUGACUAUGAUGAUCACCUGGGUUUGUAGGCAACCUUCGCUGGUUGGCUCUACCAAAGAAAUUACUUCCGUAACCCAAGCCAGCGGCCUUGGCUUGGCUACGGAAGUGGGAGGUAAGUAAUGUACCUCGAGACCGACCACAAUUCAUGCGAAGGGCCGGCCAACUAAUGCCCGCCACAAAGCCUCUGAAUCGACAACCAAUGUCUAUCACAUGGCAGGUCUAGAAGUGCAUGGAAGGCUCUUUGAAUUUCAAACAAUUCCUAUGGCCACACCUCGGCCAUAAUUUUGAGAGGUUUCUAAAAUCGCGCUAGCGAAGUGGGCAGGACGUGAUCCACGUGUGAAACGCUCAUGCCUGAUUCUCAGAAUGUGUGGAGGCCUGUCAAUCCCGGUCGACCCACUUGCUCGAAUUCUUGGGUGAUAGGUGCUCAUCUUUGCCUAUACAAUCUACUAUCCGAAGGAACUUCUAGGUAAGUGCUUUGUAUCCUCAUAGACCACUGAGAAUCUCUUCUGUUCUCUGAGUGUUGCUUUGACUUAGGUAUUGGAAGUCUCUCAUCGGACACAUUUCGGCAAGAGGACUUCUUCAUUUUUUGCUGUUUUAGGUCGAAGCUUAGUCGUUGAUCAGAAUCCUGGACACAACCUUUUACUCUAAAUCGUAGCCUCGCACGACUCGAGUAGCUCUCCGCCGAACUCUCUAGCAUCUCUCCCGCUCGGCAUCUGGGUGAGGCUGCUUCACAGUGACAACAGCUCCAAUUCCGCUGGAACAAAAACAUAUCGAUCUGUUCCCAUGGAAAGAGCCUUCCUCCAACGUGAAAUGAGGAUGAUAAAGUCUAUGCGAUCCUUCCCCACGGAAGAGCUCUAGCUUGCUCAGAGGAAUGUCCCCUUAGAGAUAGGCAAUCAGUCCACUAAUGUCUCCGAAUUUAGCCAGAACAUAUCCAUGACUAGCUGGCGGCCACCAUCCUAAACAACAUAAUGGAGAUAGUAAGCUGUCGCUAGCUUGGCGUUCCGAGAUGUAUCAAUGUCCAGGCUUGUCCGGCAACGGAGGGCCUUUAUGUUUAGUUGAGGGUGACCCGUAAAGGGUGCCUUGGGUCGGUCAGUUCCUCCCCCCACGAUACCACAUCCAAAUCCCAAGGGGCACAAACGCAAUGAAUAUAAAUAUUUUUUUGGUUUACAAUAGAACAUGAAGCCCACCAGGGGUCGGGAAUCCAACUCCCCAGGCAUACGCUGGGUUCAUCCUCUUCAACUCAUUAGUCUAAUCAUCGUCAGGAAUAUAAUAUUGUUAUAUCAAGAGUGCGUUUGUGUACCAUCCAUACACAAAGAUGAAAAGAAAAGUACGAGAGGAUAAUUCCUUAAAUCUAGACGUAGGGGCCCCACUGUAACAAGAGAACAAACAAGGACCCCACAUGUACGAAGCUUGAGCUAGAGAAGGCACAUCGCCUCCGUAUACACAAAUAUGCGUGUAACGUUUUUGUCAAACCAUUUGAUGCAUUUUAAAACAUAAAAUUUUCUAUUUCCAUGUGCCUUACAGAGAUUUAGCUAGAACAGGCGCACCGACUAUAUAUUAUAUUUUUUGUCAAAUUAUCUAAUGUAUUUAAAAAAAAAAUAUUUUUGCAUGCCUGACAGAUUUUGCUGGAAAAGACACAUCAACUAUAUAUUAUAUUUUUUUUCAAAUUAUCUAAUGCAAUUUUAAAAAAGAAACUCUCUUCUACCACUAUUUUUUUUUUUAAGCCCGAUAAAGCCCACCAAGUGAAUAUUAUAUUUUUGUCAAAUUAUUGACAUAUUUUUUUUAAAAAAGAAACUCUUCCACAAAACGCGUGCCAUCUGAAGACUGAAUGUGGCGUGGAAAAAUGUUUCCUCGGGGAAGGAGAAAGCAAACCCCGGCAGCUGGAGCGGUGGGCCCACGGCAUCCCUUCGCACCAAACAAAUAAAAGGGCCCUCUAAUUAUUCUAUUUGCUCCAAUCCGUAAAUAGAGGGAGGGGAUUUUUGCAUACUUCAAUUCAUUGACUUCCCUGAACUUAUUUUGGUAUAUGUACGACGUCACAUGCCGGGGGAUUGGGAUUGUGUGAUUCUGCUGCAAGGAAAAGGUGGUGGAAACAGGUCCUGCUUUCCCUGAGCAAUAUCAUUGUCCCUAUCAGCGCUGCUGACCGUUCAAUGGAUACGGUUCUGAUGGACAUGCAGUCACGUGGUGAUGGAUGGCCCUUCCAAUUAUAUAUGGUAUUUGGACUUGAAGGACAGAUCGAUCGCGGUCCCUCGGCCAUGGAAUGGAAUGAAACCCUCCAUUUCCGUCCAAAGGAAUACAGCUGUUCGGAGAUCCCCCCCCGGGCCCGGGACGUACGUCAGUCGGAAUUAAGCAGAAGGAAUCCUGAGGUUGGUGGCUGGUGACGAUCAUGUUUAUAGAGGCUUCGGUUCUCCUCCUUUUACCAUCGGUAGUCUCCCUCGCAGCUCCAGUCCUCUCACGUCCAAUCUAAAAAAGGAUGCUUCCAAUGAUGUGGAUGGACGUCGGAGAGGUUCACAGGUCGCCACACUGCACUUGUUGGACCACGACCAUACAAUACUCACCUGUACUCCCACCUCCUAAAAUGAUAGAUAUUAGAUAUAUUGUGUUUGCUUGAAAUGACUUCCCACACUCUCCUCGCCUCUGCACGCGCGCGCGCACACGCACCAAAAAAAAUAAUAACUUGCAUGUUACCUUCUUAGCAAUUAGUGAAAUUCUUGGACUUCCUACCUUUUUUUUAUAGUAGAAGAGACAAGUUUUUUCCCUCUUAAUAUUCUCUCCUCUUGAUCAGUAUAUUGUGGAAACUCGAUCCCCUUGAGUCUAAUCUACUGCCACUCUCCGGUCAAGCUCCAUUCUCUCCACAUGUUAAAAGCAUACACAAUUAAGCUUUGAGCCCAAUCAUUAAUUUAUAUCAACCCAUCUACCUCCCACUAAUUAAUUAUUCCAUAUAGAAAUAAAUCUCAAACACGACUUCAUCUACUUCCCACCAGUUAUUCCAUGCAGGAUUAAACCUCAUAUGUGAUUCUUAAUAUUUCCCCCCUUCAUGUAUGAGUCAAUUUAACUAUCCCUUGAACCGAACACAAUACUACUCUCAAAUCAAGCUUUGCUCCUAGUUGCUUUCCGGUGCAUCAUGUAUGUUUGCUAUUGCCCAAGAGCCCGUUCUCCAGGAGCCACGUUGCACUCCACCAAAUGUGUUACUGCUAUAGUCUAAGAAGUUUACUCCUCAAGAGCCACGUUUCAAGCUCCAUGCCUAAUUACUCUACCAUGUGUUAUCGCUAAACCAAAGAGCUCACCCUGCAAGAGCCAUAAUACACCUCAUAUAGUGCGUCCACUCUAGUCUAGAAACCCGCUCUCGAAGAGCCACAUUUCAUGCCCAAUUACUUGUGCAUGCGCCGCAUCUUACCGCUACAGUUCCAGAGCCCACUCUUCAAGAGCCGCAUUAUACUUCACCCAAGUGCCCACAAUCUAAGAGCUAGAAUAACUUCAUCUAGUGUGUUGUCGCUCCAAUGCAAGAAUCCCACUCUUCAAGAUCCAUGUUCCAUGCUCAACACCUAGUUACACCAUGACUCUAUUCAUUAAUCUACAUUUUACCAUUCUCUGCAGGAGCCAUCAAUUCCAAUGCCUUUGCAGCAUUAAGAGUUUCGAAGGAUUGUUAGCUAUCGGCUCUAAUAUCCCGUUGAUAAUAGAUGAGGAGUCUGAGUCAGACUAGAAGAAGGCCUUGAUAUAUAUGUCGAAGCCCAAAUUCAACUUAAAACUUUAGUUGCCAAGUUUGGACGCAAUCAUCUAUGUGACAACCCAAGUGCUUGCCUAAAAACGCUAUGUGAAAGUUGUUGUUUGGAUUUCUUGACCCUAUAAAAGUGCUUAAGAUUUAUCUAGUGCAUAACUAAUGUAGAAUUAAAUACAUGCCUAUAUGGAUCCUUACAUACUCUUCUGUUUGAGUCCUAGCAUCCUCACAAGGCUAAGGAUCCAAAUCCAAUCAAAAUCCAAUUACAAAUAUUAUGAGCGACUCAUGGUCAGAUCUAAAAAGAUCUGUACUGCAGUGUCCUCUCGUCCAUAUGGACCAUAGAUUAUGUCCGCUCUAAUACCAUUUAUAAUGAUCUAGGGCAUCGUCCAAAAAGACUAGUUGAAAGAUAUUAUUUAUAUAUAAGAUCUAAAAGCUAUCCAGUAUAUAACUAUUGCGGGACUAUUUAUAUGGCUACACGGUCCUCAUAAUUUAUGUCAACUAAUUAUCUGCCUCUCAUUAAUUAUUUCAUGCAGGACAAAAUGUAAUUAUAGGUGAUCCUCAACAGGUUCGAGCCAUCUUACUAAUUCUCUAAAGAUAUCUCACAAUUUCAUAGAACCAAAUUCGGUUGCAUUACGCGUACGUUCAUCUAUCUCUAUUGCUUCUAUAAUAAAUUCUAGAUGAUAAAACCAUUGCCUUACUGAUCAUUUCAAACAGUCUAAUAAAGAAACCUUCAAAUCUUAUUCAUUAAAGUGGGCAUGGGAGGAAAGGAAAAGAAAACUCGGUAUCGAGCAUCCAGCAUUAGUUGACACCACAUGUGAUCGUGAGCUGUCAGAUAUAAGUGAAAGCAUUUUUUCAGACAUGUCACGAGGCCCCCCUCACGUUUGCUUGCAAGGAAGAGGCAAGAGUUGGAAUCGAUCGAACACUUGAUGCGAAAUAGACUCCAGAUAAUUACAUCAAAAAAAUUAGGCCAGGAAUAAAGGCUUGCUUCGGAUGUGUCCCAAGAUGCCCUCACAUUUUCUCCCCCUCAGUAGGAAAGGGGAAAGAGCCAACUCAGGGCUGAGAAGUCAGCACAAAAGGGUACUGUUGAGACACGGGUAGGGGCAUCGAUCCUUCUCCACACUCUCACGGGCGUCACAAGAUGUCUCCUAUAUUCUCCGCUUGCCCGCUGCGGGGUAGAGACCGUGUUGUCCCUUCCUUGUAAGCAUGCCUGCCUCCGGUCUUUACCAAACACACGCAGAUAAUCACAACCACUAGUUAUUUUUGUGGUAGUGCACCAAGAUAAAUGCUUGAUGAAUAAAGCCUAAAGAAAUAAGCGAUUGUAAUUGGCUGCAUGUAUGGCCAUAUGGCAUAUGUAGUAUGAGGACCCGUGCGGACGUAUGUUUAUUCCCAUAUCGAUUAUUUGCUAGAUAGAUCUUGGAUACUUAUACAGGAUCAAUGAGCCUAAAUAAUAUCUUCCAGCUAGUCUUUUUCGAUGAGGCUCUGGGUUGUGACAAAUGGUAUCAGAACGGACCACGUACCAAUCCAUCCCUGUUCCAUAAAGAUUGGUGUCCUUUCUUUAAGAUUUUAAUUAAAAUAUGGGCUGCCAUUGAUUGCGUAUGUUAUACUAGUUGCGAAAAACGGGUUGAAAGUAAUUCAGAUAGACCCAAAUAAUCACAAUAGAUCUGAGAUUUGCACCACUGAUCUCAACCCAAACAAUCCUAAUACUACAGAAAGUUUAGAACACCCUAGAUCUAAACAAUAUAUAUCGCAGAAAUUUUAAAACUUCCUUAGAUCUAAGAUAUAGGUUGCAGAAAUUUCAAACACCCCUAGAUCUACAGUGUGGGUAUUGCAGAAAUUUUAAAUAGCCAUAGAUCUACAAUAUUCUCCAUAAAUCAACACCCCAAAUAUACAAAAUCAGAUAUGGAAAUUUUCUUCAGUUUGGGAACGUCACCUCUGAGAGAUUUUUUUUGCUUCACUCUCUUUGUUUAUGGUUCUUAUAAUUUUUUAAAAAAGGCUUUAUAUAUUGUUUGAAUUAUUAUGCAUAUUUGAGUUUUUGAAUUUUGCAUGGAUGGUGCCACCAAAGUGGUUCAUUCAUUCCAAUUUUUGGAAUUCUUUCAAUAAGGAUUAUGGGAAGCUUUUUUAAUUUUAUAGCGUGCCAUUACCUACUCAAAGGAGGUUAAUUGUGUGCGUUAAUUUUAAAGGUAGUGUAAGUUAUUAGUAAGGGUGUUUAUUGACUCUCAAGAAAUCUAUCUACCCACAAGGUGAUAGUUUUUCUAAGGAGUCAUUCUUACUAAUUGACUUGUUAAAAGUAUUUAGAUGUGUCCUAUAUAUUCAGCCCAAAGAUAUUUAUAUACUGUGAUGCAUUUCAAGCCUAUAAGAAUAUUGCUAAAAUUUAUUUUUCAGCAUAUUCUUGGAAUUAUUAUCAAUGCUCAAAUAUAGCUAAUUAAAUUCUAUGUUGAAUUUUAUUUUUAUUUCAGCCACUGCUUGUAGAUCUGUGGAGCACACGAUGGCUCUCCCUGUGGCCGCCCAGACCAGUCUAUCUCACGAAGUGCCAUGAGGUAGCGUGAUAGUAAGAAUGCUCUCUGCCAGUUGCUCCCCAAAUGCCUUCUUGAUCCGCACCUCGUCCCACCUGCCCUCACCGGCAAUGAACAAGUCGCAGAUUCUAGAACCGACCAACCUCGCUGUAUCAACCAUUGUCAGCAUCUGGCUAAGCGGUUGCUCAGUCACCCAUCUAUCCUCUAGAACGUCAAUGGACUGUCUAUCUCCAAUAGCCCACCUGAUCGCCUCAAACAUAAUCGAGGCAUGUGAGCAGAUCUUCCUUCAUAUGAAGAAGCAAUGACGUCCCACCUAUAAGCCAACCACCACCGUAUGCGCACCAUACUUGGCCUGCAUCAUAACGCUCCACAAGUUGUCAUGCUCCAAGAUAAACCUUGUGGCGCGUCUCGUAGCUAGUACCUAGCUUCCGGCUCGCCACCAGUGACUGGACCCCCAAUCCACCCUAUCUGGGUGCCUAGCAGAGCACCUCCCAUGCCACUAUAUGAACUCCUCCUCUGCCCUCUUGUCUGCCCUAGACGAAUUCCUGAAUAACUGCUCGAAUGACUGCAAAAGUGAUAGUGGCACAAGGGUAUUUGUUGGCAGGUACACCAGUAUCAAAUUCAGCACCGACCGAACUAAGGUGACUCUGCCCAUUAUGGAGGGAGUAUCCAUCUACCAUCCCUCUAAUCUAUGUUUGAUACCCAACUCGACAUCGGAACAGUCCAUACAACAUGAUAUUCUUGGAUGCGGAUGCCAUAUUCAUAAUUACUGCAUAGAGACAUAGUACACACAAUAAAUAGUAGCAUAAAGAAAAUCCAACAUGACACACACAUGCAUAUGUAUAUAGUAAAAACAAACUAAACGAAUGAUAAGCUAACAUAAGACACCAAAUUGAAAAUUCGCUAUACUUCCAAUCAUCUUCCAUAUUCAAAUGCCUAGUCAUCAUUCAUUUAGAACCGUUUGCACAAAAAAAAGAGUCCAGGUGAGAACUUUCUUUGAAUUCUACCAAACUUAGAACUCCCGCUCAAUAAUAUAUUUAAGCACGUUAUGACAGCAAUUAAUAAAUAAAUGUAAGGUAAAAAUACAUAACAUACCAUUAAUAGUUGCAAAUUAAAUUCAUACAUAGUCAUAUGCACAAGAGACUAACGACAAUAGUAGGAAGUUUAAUAAAUAAAUUUUAAGGCACAUACUUUACAAUCAGACAAAGUAUUAUUUCAAAGCAUAAUUCCUGCUAAGUCUUCUAUGCUCUUGAUAUGAUAAUCUAUUCUCAUGUUGAAAAAAAACUGCUAUAAAAUGAUCUUGUGUCCCUCUCUACCUAGCCAUAGAUCCAUAGGAUCUUUAUCACAUCCACAAUAGCACAAGUGGCUUGCACUGCAAAGGUUUGGAAAUUGAGAUAAUAUUGCAGUUCGCCUUAUCCCAAACAAUACACAAUGCUCCUCAGCCAACUCAAGUUCAUAGACCAUUUUGUAGAAAGUUUUAACUUCUUGCUUUCUAUAUUUUUCCCAUAGAGCGAGUGCUAGGAUUUCCUAUUUUGUUGUGAGAAAAUUGAGCAGAGUAAUAAUUUAUUUCCAAAUAGGGACAUCAAUGCCAUAACCUCCAACAGAUCUUAUUAAAUUGCAUAAUCUUCCUAUGUGCAUUUGCACAGUGUAUUUAGUGUUCAUAUUAUCAUUUCUGAAUUCUUAAAAAAUAAUAUGCAACUAUUUGCUUGUUUUUCACUACAUGCAUAUGAGAGAGAGUAUUAAUAUAUAUGUAUGCAUGUUGAAUGUUAUACUAACAUUGUAAUAUUUAGCAACGAAUAUCAUGCAUAAAUAUUCUUCUUUAAAUAGAAUUUAUUUUCUCUUUUUCAAUAAUAAAAAAAUCAAUUGUUUAAACUCUGUUUGAGAAAAGAAGGAAGAAGAAUGUAAAAAAAGUUUUUUGUAUGAAUACCCAUCUAAAAAUUCAAAUUUGCGUGAAUACUCUCUUAAAAUUUAUAUUUAUUUCUAUACCCUCAUAAAAUACUGUUUUUGUAUAAAUGUCCCUAAUAUAACGGUUCUUCUAACAUCGUUAAUAAAAACUAUAUUAUUUUAAUAAAAAAUAAAAAUUUUUGAAAUUACUUUUUUUAUCUUUCAUCGCGAUCAUCUUAUAAAUGUUUGUGUUUACACAUCUACCCAUUAAAGGCAUUUUAGUCAUUUUAAUUUAAAACCGUUAAUUUUUUAACGGCAUUAGAAGGCGUGGGUGCAUAUGAAAAAUAAGGAUUAAAAAAGGUAGAAUAGCAAAACAAGUGUUUACGAGGAUAUACAUGCAAAUAUCAAUUUUGGAAGGAUAUUCAAAUAAAAUUUGAUAUUUAGAAGAACAUUCAUCUUAAAAAAAAAAAAUUAUUAAAGAAAUUAUUGGUAUGAUGCACGACGCCCAGACAAGAGCUGAUGUGCACGAUCGUGCGGAAACGGGCAAGCCUAGCCACAUGGCACACGGGCGCGGAAAGCCUAGCCGCGUGGUUGCGCACUGUCACACGCGGCCUGUCACACGCGGGGCCGCAUGCUGAUCCGCGUGGAAAAGAUAUAUGAAAUCUGAGAACUUUCCCAUAGUACCAAGAUAGAACGCAAAAUUCAUCGUAUAAAAAGAUAAAUGAAAUCAAAGUUUCGGCUUUUUAAUCAACGGAUGGUAAUAUCUUUCACUACAAUGAAUGUUGGGCCAUGAGAUUUUUCAGAUUUCAAUACCUCAUAUAGGACUACAUAUUCCUACAAAAUCUCGGCCUAACUCAAGAUAUAGUAAAUGUUGCUAUUAACAGGGUUUCAAUCAACCUUGAUUUGCAAAAUAAGGGAAUAAUGAAUGUAAUAGUAAUACUGAGACUUCUUUAGCAUAUCAAAAGCCAAAAAAAGAUCAUGAAUUCAACCAACAUCGCUAUGAUACCAAUGAUAAACAAAAGAGUACUUAAUAAAAAUUUAAAUUUUAUGAGUUACCUCAAAAGUGUGCAAAAUGGAACUCCUAGGAUCCGAGGGAUUGAACCACAUAUUUUUCUAUUUCUGGAAUAUACACUAAGUCAACUGUGCUAUCACAAUGGAAAGCACAUAAAAAACCACAAUUCAAGUGCUUUUGGUGCAAGAAUAAGAUGAAAGGGAGUUUUUUUUUUUUUGCUAAAAAAGUGGGGGAAGGGAGGAGGAAGGGACAAGCCCACCCCCGUGUAGCAGCCCCCACUGGGCCCCCCACCCUGCCAGGAGAAUGUUCGAUGCGGGCAAACCGGGUCGUAUGUUGGGCACGCCGACCUAUUUUACUUAUAUCCUCCCCACCCGUGAGACGGCUCGGUUACCCGACUCGACCCUCCGUGUGAGUACGUCACACCUGGCACCACCCAGGCUACCAGCCGACCAGUAGCACUUCCAGACCCCAUGUCCAGGCGUGGAGCAUUCGGUCCCCAAAUUUAAUCGACGCCCACGCGUUUCGAACCUGGAACCACUUGGUUGGAAGCAAACGCCCCGUUCCAACUAGG